CCUACGGGGGGCAGCAGUGAGGAAUAUUGGUCAAUGGGCGUAAGCCUGAACCAGCCAAGUCGCGUGAGGGAUGAAGGUUCUAGGGAUCGUAAACCUCUUUUAUAAGGGAAUAAAGAGCGGGACGUGUCCCGUUUUGUAUGUACCUUAUGAAUAAGGAUCGGCUAACUCCGUGCCAGCAGCCGCGGUAAUACGGAGGAUCCGAGCGUUAUCCGGAUGUAUUGGGUUUAAAGGGUGCGUAGGCGGCCUUUUAAGUCAGCGGUGAAAGUCUGGGGCUAAACCAUAGAAUUGCCGUUGAAACUGGGAGUCUUGAGUAUGUUUGAGGCAGGCGGAAUGCGUGGUGUAGCGGUGAAAUGCUUAGAUAUCACGCAGAACCCCGAUUGCGAAGGCAGCCUGCCAAGCCAUGACUGACGCUGAUGCACGAAAGCGUGGGGAUCAAACAGGAUUAGAUACCCGUGUAGUC
This 460-nucleotide ribosomal RNA is filed under the name uncultured bacterium. RNAcentral describes it as "partial 16S ribosomal RNA". It matches the Rfam family "Bacterial small subunit ribosomal RNA", at positions 338 to 795 of the family's 1533-position model. The record is from RNAcentral.